Molecule: transfer RNA, 74 nt
Filed under: Rhizobium sp. MHM7A
Lineage: Bacteria; Pseudomonadati; Pseudomonadota; Alphaproteobacteria; Hyphomicrobiales; Rhizobiaceae
Description: tRNA-Gly
Rfam family: tRNA
About the family: Transfer RNA (tRNA) molecules are approximately 80 nucleotides in length.
Source: RNAcentral
GCGGGUGUAGCUCAAUGGUAGAGCAACUGCCUUCCAAGCAGAAUACGAGGGUUCGAUUCCCUUCACCCGCUCCA